AUGAAAUUUCUCUAUGUUCUACCUGGUUGGGAGGGUUCGGCAUCAGAUUCAAGAGUGCUAAAAGAUGCUAUGAGAAUCGAUCGCGAAGAUGAAUUUGUUGUACCACAGGGAAAGUACUAUCUUGUUGAUGCUGGCUAUACCAAUGGACCUGGAUUUCUAUCUCCAUUCAGAUCCACUCGGUACCACUUGAAAGAGUGGGUUGCAAGUCAACAACGUCCUUCACAAAAAAACCUCCUUUUUGGCACUCGGAAAAUGAAAAAUGAAUUUUCCGUGCAAAGAAAAUGA
Molecule: ribosomal RNA, 285 nt
Filed under: Triticum aestivum (bread wheat)
Lineage: Eukaryota; Viridiplantae; Streptophyta; Magnoliopsida; Poales; Poaceae
Description: partial small subunit ribosomal RNA
Source: RNAcentral